This 75-nucleotide small nuclear RNA is filed under the name Salmo salar (Atlantic salmon). Lineage: Eukaryota; Metazoa; Chordata; Actinopteri; Salmoniformes; Salmonidae. The record is from RNAcentral.
GUGCUGGCUUCAGCAGCACAUAUACUAAAAUUGGAACGAUACAGAGAAGAUUAGCAUGGCCCCUUGCGCAAAGAU